This is a non-coding RNA of Arachis ipaensis, 588 nucleotides long. NCBI's taxonomy places the organism in Eukaryota, Viridiplantae, Streptophyta, Magnoliopsida, Fabales, Fabaceae. The record is from RefSeq and is a predicted model, not a curated record.
UUUCUCUCAAACUUUACUUACUAGUGGUUAAUUUGGUUGAAUUGUUGAAAUAACAAAACAACUCCAACUACUUUGAAUUUUGAUUGAUGUGUGAUUUACUCUUUUCUCUUCGCGUUCCUUGUCACUGCUCGCGAUUUACUCUUCUCUAUUCAAUUUCCUCGUCAUUGCCUGUGUUCCUCAUUGCUGGCGUCAUUGUUGGCGUCUCCGUCGUGUUCAUCGCUGCUCGCCUCGCCUCGCCGUUGGGUGUUAGAGUUGGCUAGGAAUUCUUUUAGUUCAAUUGAGUUAGCACUAUGUUUUUCGCCAUGCUUCCAAUUACGUUCACUUCUUUUUUUCUGCUUCUCUAUUUGCAAAUUAGGUUUGCUUUCAUAGCUACAAUAUUUGGAAAAUUCUUGGAAGCUUUGUUUUGGUUACAGCUGCCUCAAGCGCUUAAACAUUUGAUGGUUUUUGUGUGCAAUAGCUAUUUCAAUGGUUUUAUCUUGUAAAGUUGUAAACAAUGGUUUGGCUGCUUGAUGGAUUUUGUGUGCAAUAUCUAUUUCAAUGAAAAACUUGUUUUACUACUUCAACUUAUAAAAACUAAUUUAACUUCAA